RNAcentral lists this ribosomal RNA (165 nucleotides) under Fleroya rubrostipulata. Its description in RNAcentral is "5.8S ribosomal RNA". It matches the Rfam family "5.8S ribosomal RNA". From Rfam's summary of the family: 5.8S ribosomal RNA (5.8S rRNA) is a component of the large subunit of the eukaryotic ribosome. It is transcribed by RNA polymerase I as part of the 45S precursor that also contains 18S and 28S rRNA. The record is from RNAcentral. Lineage: Eukaryota; Viridiplantae; Streptophyta; Magnoliopsida; Gentianales; Rubiaceae.
CCAAACGACUCUCAACAACGGAUAUCUCGGCUCUCGCAUCGAUGAAGAACGUAGCGAAAUGUGAUACUUUGUGUGAAUUGCAGAAUCCCGUGAACCAUCGAGUUUUUGAACGCAAGUUGCGCCCGAAGCCGUCAGGCCAAGGGCACGUCUGCCUGGGCGUCACGC